This 368-nucleotide ribosomal RNA is filed under the name uncultured organism. RNAcentral's name for it is "bacterial SSU rRNA". It matches the Rfam family "Bacterial small subunit ribosomal RNA", at positions 526 to 896 of the family's 1533-position model. The record is from RNAcentral.
CGGAGGGUGCAAGCGUUAUCCGGAUUUACUGGGUUUAAAGGGUGCGUAGGUGGGUAGGUAAGUCAGUGGUGAAAUCUUCGAGCUUAACUCGGAAACUGCCAUUGAUACUAUUUAUCUUGAAUACUCUGGAGGUAAGCGGAAUAUGUCAUGUAGCGGUGAAAUGCUUAGAUAUGACAUAGAACACCAAUUGCGAAGGCAGCUUACUACAUAGUUAUUGACACUGAGGCACGAAAGCGUGGGGAUCAAACAGGAUUAGAUACCCUGGUAGUCCACGCCCUAAACGAUGGAUACUCGACAUCAGCGAUACACUGUUGGUGUCUGAGCGAAAGCAUUAAGUAUCCCACCUGGGAAGUACGAUCGCAAGAUUG